AUUCAGGCCGGUCCUGCAGAGAGGAAGCCCUUCUGCUUACAGGUAUUGGAAGGGCUUCCUCUCUGCAGGACCGGCCUGAAU
Homo sapiens (human) is the source of this 81-nucleotide non-coding RNA. The record is from Rfam. NCBI's taxonomy places the organism in Eukaryota, Metazoa, Chordata, Mammalia, Primates, Hominidae.